RNAcentral lists this ribosomal RNA (253 nucleotides) under uncultured bacterium. RNAcentral describes it as "partial 16S ribosomal RNA". It matches the Rfam family "Bacterial small subunit ribosomal RNA", at positions 524 to 776 of the family's 1533-position model. The record is from RNAcentral.
UACGUAGGGGGCAAGCGUUGUCCGGAUUUAUUGGGCGUAAAGAGCGUGUAGGCGGUCAGGUAGGUCCGUUGUGAAAACUCGAGGCUCAACCUCGAGACGCCGAUGGAAACCAUCUGACUAGAGUCCGGAAGAGGAGAGUGGAAUUCCUGGUGUAGCGGUGAAAUGCGUAGAGACCCGGAGGAACACCAGUGGCGAAGGCGGCUUCCUGGUCUGCAACUGACGCUGUGGCGCGAAAGCUAGGGGAGCAAACGGG